UUUUCAGCCACGUAAGUAAAAGUAAAUAUCAACCGUCAUGUUUUCCUCACAUCGGGCUUCGCAAUUUUCCAUUUGCGGCAACCCAGUGUCUUUUCAACUCCCUACACGUUAUGUUCUCCCCUUGCCCCACCCUUUGUGGUUGCUCCAUCUCCCCAUUAAACCUGACAGAGCGCUCUUAUUUCUCGUGCAUACUAUCUCUCCAUCACAGACGUUCCACUUCAUCACCUUCAUGCAACUCGGCUCUUGCUACUGAAUCCUGUCCUAGGUGAGUUUCCUACGCCUUGACUCGAUUUGCCUUAGAAGUAUUUUUAGGUUGUGCAAAUAGAGACUGGACUAUGCUCUCUCCAGGACUCGAAGUACUCCGUUGCCACACCAUCAAGGACGGAAGAUGAUUUUUCAUGUAGAUAAAAAGGCAUGACAAAAAAAUUCAUGACGAAAAAAGCAAGGGGUUCUACCUUACAAAUCAUCUCACGGCUUCUUGAUUCUUGAUUGCAUUUCCCAUUUGUACAUAUACGUAUCAUCAUUUAGAGAUUUGAAUUUUGGAGGAUCUGAGUCCACACGAUCAAUGGAGAAUGAUUUAUCCCCCAAAAUGGAAAACUGGAAGGUGUUUUGUAUGCCAUCGGAAUAUACAAGUCUGAAAAUUGUUAGCCUUUACAAAUUGACUAUUGGGGGAGCACCUGGACGUAGUUUGUUUAUGUUUUACACCUUCAGUACAUCAAAGGUGUUUUGUAUUAAUUAAUUAAUCGAGUCUCUAGCUAUAGACUUUAAUUAACACUCGCCAUUGAUACAAAAUAACCAACAGCGAGGGCCUUCUGAUUUGUUUGGUGAAUUACAGUUUUUUGCUUGAUUUAUUUUGCAGAUAUCAUCCAUCUAUUAACACAAUUUAGCUCCAAUCUCUAUUGAAUACCUUGUACUUGCAUUUAUCAUCCUGCUCCUUCAUAGGGAUGUCAUUCCAAAUCAUUUCUCAGUAUCGACAUGACCGUGGAAUUUCCUUACUGUCGAAUCUAGGGACCAACGAAGAUCUCGGGUAACGUCCGAGUUGAACCAGAGGAAUACAAGUUAGCUAGUUGUUAAGGAAUUUAUGAUGAAACAAACACAGGCUUCCGGUGGUGGAAAUUGGGGGUCUGAAUGGAAGACUGAUCUGAAGAUCAUAGACAUGCUCACAUCCCAUGUUUCAAAAAGGCUCCGAUCCUGGGAUGUUGGAAGUCUUUGGAACCACAGGAAUAAUAUUUUCUUCCAUAUUAGACGUAGACAGAUAUCUGAUGCUUUUUUUUUCUUUUGAGCCAAACAAAGUCUAAAAGAAGAAAUGCAGAAUGCAGACACUCCCUCCAAUCCAUAAUAAUUGUCAGGAAUUUAGUACAAAAUUGUACUAACUUUAACUUUUUA
Long non-coding RNA from Brachypodium distachyon (stiff brome), 1386 nucleotides. RefSeq lists it as uncharacterized. The record is from RefSeq and is a predicted model, not a curated record. The transcript is spliced from 2 exons. NCBI's taxonomy places the organism in Eukaryota, Viridiplantae, Streptophyta, Magnoliopsida, Poales, Poaceae.